Molecule: transfer RNA, 85 nt
Filed under: Pyrobaculum calidifontis JCM 11548
Lineage: Archaea; Thermoproteati; Thermoproteota; Thermoprotei; Thermoproteales; Thermoproteaceae
Description: tRNA-Ser (CGA) (tRNA-Ser-CGA-1-1)
Rfam family: tRNA
About the family: Transfer RNA (tRNA) molecules are approximately 80 nucleotides in length. Their secondary structure includes four short double-helical elements and three loops (D, anti-codon, and T loops). Further hydrogen bonds mediate the characteristic L-shaped molecular structure. tRNAs have two regions of fundamental functional importance: the anti-codon, which is responsible for specific mRNA codon recognition, and the 3' end, to which the tRNAs corresponding amino acid is attached (by aminoacyl-tRNA synthetases). tRNAs cope with the degeneracy of the genetic code in two manners: having more than one tRNA (with a specific anti-codon) for a particular amino acid; and 'wobble' base-pairing, i.e. permitting non-standard base-pairing at the 3rd anti-codon position.
Source: RNAcentral
GCCGGGGUGGCCGAGCGGCCCAAGGCGCGGGACUCGAGAUCCCGUCCCCGUUCAGGGGGCGUGGGUUCAAAUCCCACCCCCGGCG